Molecule: long non-coding RNA, 1223 nt
Organism: Brachypodium distachyon (stiff brome)
Lineage: Eukaryota; Viridiplantae; Streptophyta; Magnoliopsida; Poales; Poaceae
Exons: 4
Source: RefSeq, a predicted model, not a curated record
UGUCAGCUCCCAUGUUUGGAGUUCCUCAAUGUCAGUCGUGCUCCAGCAAUCAAGCGCGUUGGGCCUGAAUUCGUGCAGCCCUACAGUGCCGUCACCAUGCUUCAAUGGGAGGAGUGGAACUGGGAGGAGGAAGUGCAAGCCAUGCCCGUCUUGGAGGUGCUUUUAAUCCAAAGAUGCAAAUUGAGGUGUCUUCCUCCCGGUCUUUCCACUCAUGCAAGGACUUUGAGAAAAUUAAGCACAUACAACGUCCAACGCCUCCACUCUCUAGAUAAUUUUGCUUUUGUAGUUGAGCUCACAGUGGACAACAUACCCGAACUGACUAGGAUCUCCAAUCUCCCCAAAUUGCAAAAGCUUGAGAUCAACUGCUGCCGAAAGCUCGAGUCACUGCAGAAAAUGACUGCACUCCGGAGACUCAUGCUGACAAUUCAGCACAGUGAGAAACAACUCCCACUGUACCUGCAAACUGUACAGCCAAGCCAUUUGCUGCUGGAUUGCAGCCCAGAAAUACUCACCUCCAUUUCUGUUGGAAAAUUUGGCCCUGAGUUUGACAAGUUCAGCCAUAUUGAGAAAGUCGAGGCUUAUUCAAAGGAUGGAGACAAUGUGAAGAAAUGGUAUGUGUAGACAAGCGAGCCGUACAACAUGAGUAGAAACAUGGAGACACAUCUGCAGGAUCUAUCAGUGGAUGACGAAGAAUAGGUCGUAGCUCCUGGAGCGGAAAGGAGACAAACAUACUCAAAACAUGCAUGAGUGAUUUUAAUCUGUGGUCAAGGGUGAAAGAAGGUCAUGGAUGUCAUUGCAAGUCCUUUUCCCGAUUAUUUGAGGAAAAGAAACUCCGAUAAUGAACUGUAAGGAAGUGGAAUGAAAGGUUUCUUCUCCCUCCUCCAGCUGGUUAAUAUCAAGUGUCAGUGUGCGUGUAUGCAACUCCAGUCUCAGCGGUGUGAAGAGAAAUUCUCUCCGUCACAUUGUACUCCAUAAUGGUUCUAAAUCCACACUAUAGAAAGACCAUGGUGCUAUGUAAAACGUGGAGACUCCGUUUACACUAUGAUUAAUUUGUAAGAUAACAAAAGUUGCGUUCUAAGCUUGCCAACAUUGCGUGUCAAAAUAAGAUGUUUGUUUAUGCCGUGACGAACAAUGUCAAUUGUGAUUGGAAAUAUUUAGUUCUUGCCUUCCGAUACGUAGCUUCGACUCCUAACCUGAAAGGUGGCAAACCAAACAAGCACAUA